Molecule: ribosomal RNA, 218 nt
Filed under: uncultured bacterium
Lineage: Bacteria
Description: partial 16S ribosomal RNA
Rfam family: Bacterial small subunit ribosomal RNA
Source: RNAcentral
ACGCUCGACACCUACGGGAGGCAGCAGUGAGGAAUAUUGGUCAAUGGACGCAAGUCUGAACCAGCCAUGCCGCGUGCAGGAUGACGGCUCUAUGAGUUGUAAACUGCUUUUGUACGAGGGUAAACGCAGAUACGUGUAUCUGUCUGAAAGUAUCGUACGAAUAAGGAUCGGCUAACUCCGUGCCAUCAGCCGCGGUAAUCUGAGCGGGCUGGCAAGGC